Molecule: ribosomal RNA, 255 nt
Filed under: Yersinia mollaretii
Lineage: Bacteria; Pseudomonadati; Pseudomonadota; Gammaproteobacteria; Enterobacterales; Yersiniaceae
Description: partial 23S ribosomal RNA
Rfam family: Bacterial large subunit ribosomal RNA
Source: RNAcentral
AAUCAACCGAGAUUCCCCCAGUAGCGGCGAGCGAACGGGGAAGAGCCCAGAGUCUGAAUCAGUUUGUGUGUUAGUGGAAGCGUCUGGAAAGUCGCACGGUACAGGGUGAUAGUCCCGUACACAAAAAUACACCUUCUGUGAACUCGAUGAGUAGGGCGGGACACGUGACAUCCUGUCUGAAUAUGGGGGGACCAUCCUCCAAGGCUAAAUACUCCUGACUGACCGAUAGUGAACCAGUACCGUGAGGGAAAGGCG